GGGCCCGCACAAGCGGUGGAGUAUGUGGUUUAAUUCGAUGCAACGCGAAGAACCUUACCAGGGUUUGACAUCCUGCGAAUCUCUUGGAAACGAGAGAGUGCCUUCGGGAACGCAGUGACAGGUGGUGCAUGGCUGUCGUCAGCUCGUGUCGUGAGAUGUUGGGUUAAGUCCCGCAACGAGCGCAACCCACGUCUUUAGUUGCCAGCGAGUAAUGUCGGGAACUCUAACGAAACUGCCAGUGCAAACUGUGAGGAAGGUGGGGAUGACGUCAAAUCAUCAUGCCCCUUACAUCCUGGGCUACACACGUACUACAAUGCUACGGACAAAGGGCAGCAAGUUCGCGAGGACAAGCA
Molecule: ribosomal RNA, 353 nt
Filed under: uncultured bacterium
Lineage: Bacteria
Description: bacterial SSU rRNA
Rfam family: Bacterial small subunit ribosomal RNA
Source: RNAcentral